GACGAACGCUGGCGGCGUGCCUAACACAUGCAAGUCAACUUGACUGAAGGAGCAAUCUGACAGUAGAGUGGCGCAAGGGAGCGUAACGCGUAAGUAACUUGCCCAAGGUAAGGAAUAACGUCGAGAAAUCGGCGCUAAUACCUCAUAAUGCAGCGGAUCCGCAUGGAUAUGUUGUUAAAGGUUUACCGCCUUGGGAUAGGCUUGCGUCUGAUUAGCUAGUUGGUGUGGUAACGGCACACCAAGGCUACGAUCAGUAACUGGUCUGAGAGGAUGAUCAGUCACACUGGAACUGAGACACGGUCCAGACUCCUACGGGAGGCAGCAGUGAGGAAUAUUGGGCAAUGCUCGAAAGAGUGACCCAGCAACGCCGCGUGGAGGAUGAAGGUAUUCUAUAUCGUAAACUCCUGUGAGAGCAGACGAAAGACAGAUUAUUAAUACUGG
RNAcentral lists this ribosomal RNA (441 nucleotides) under uncultured bacterium. RNAcentral describes it as "bacterial SSU rRNA". It matches the Rfam family "Bacterial small subunit ribosomal RNA", at positions 28 to 468 of the family's 1533-position model. The record is from RNAcentral.